This is a long non-coding RNA of Mesocricetus auratus (golden hamster), 2828 nucleotides long. RefSeq lists it as uncharacterized. Lineage: Eukaryota; Metazoa; Chordata; Mammalia; Rodentia; Cricetidae. The record is from RefSeq and is a predicted model, not a curated record. The transcript is spliced from 3 exons.
UGAGCUGAGAGGUAAAGGGGAGAAUUCUCGGCUGGCAACGCACACAGAUGAGAAUAAUAUGGAAACUCACGGAAGGGCAGGGAGUGUGAGGCCAGUGAUGGACUCCUUGUGUUUGGACUGGGUUAUCCUGUGACAUAAUAGUGAGAUGCCCUGGACCUCAGAGGAGCAGGUAAUUCAGGAUUGAUCCAGCCCUUUAAGAGUGCCAUUAUGUGCUCACUGAGCAGAGAGAAGACUCAAAGGAGAGCAUCAAGAACAUUCAUCACAGCAAUGCUAGUGGGACUGUUCCAGUUUAGAAUGGUCAGCUGUGGAGGGGACUCAUUGCAGGUUUCCCUGUCCCCAUGGCUCUGCUUAUUUCCCAUGUCAUAAAGGGGUGUUGACUUGGACAUGUUCAAGGCCAGAGUGUGAUCUUGAGCCAUUUACAGCCUUACCCACUUGUUGAUGGUUUAACCCCCAACAAAUAAUGUCCCUGUCUGUGCCUUGGUGGUGAGGAUCAACUAGGUAACCCAGAGAUCCCUUGAGCCAGCCCUGGUUGAACUAGGCUCUCAACAUGAAAGAGCUAUCAUAUAUUUUACCUGCUUUAUUUUAUGGGGCCUGUGGAUUCCUGUGAUCUUUCUUUUAACAGAGCACAGUUUAAUGUUUAAAUGAACACUAGGAGCCAGCACCAGUCCCUCAAAUAAAACUCUGACUCCCAAAGUGUUGCGGUGUUGAGUCCGGCUACAGAGAUGUCAGCGUGAUCUUUGGGUGUGUCUCCACCUGCGGAAGCACGAGUGUGAUUUUUGCGUGCGUCUUCACCUUGCUUUUUCCUGUCAGUUGGCACAACACACAUUAGUGGAGACAUAGCUCAUAGAAUUCUGAAACUAUGAAGUACACACUUUGCUGGCAUCUAGCAGGGAACCCCAAAGAUGGAACCAGAAUACCAGACAAGUUCUCACCUGUUCUCAAACCUCCAUUUUUAAACUAUGGAAAUGAAAGUCUAGAGAAACCACUUGACAGAGUUGGGAUUUUGCAACUGGGAGGGAGUAGUAUUCACCAGUAGCCAGCUUACAUAGCUCAGAAAGCAAAUCAGUUUUAUCUUGUUAGCACAGGAGGCCAGUGGCCCAGGACUCUAAUUGGAUGUGUUUUGAAAAUUCCCUGUCUGAGCUGAGGUGUAGCUUGAUGUGUAAGAAAAUCAGGUCACGCACCAUUUUCCCAGGUGAUCCCCUGCUUUUAUGAUAUAAUACUUUAGGGUGCUUCAUUUUACUCAACAAAAGCUAAAACAACAGUCCUACCUGAGAAAGCCUGUGUCCCUUUCCUCUUUCGAUCCUGUCAGAGGGCCCCCAUCACUGGCAUGCUUGUCAGGGAGUAGGGAAGGGCCCUUAACUCAAGGCUUAAGGUUGCUAAAUUAGUUACUCGUCUUGUUGCUACGACAAAAUACCUCACAAAAGCAACUUAAGGGGAGGUUAUUUUGGCUCACAGUUUGGGGGGGUUAGGCAUAGUGGCUGGAGUGAGAGGUAGCUAGUCACCUUGCAUCUUGCCUUCUGGAAGCAGAGCUGAAAACAUGUGCUCAGCUUGCUUCUUAUUUCCUGCCCUCUUGGACCCCAGCCCAUCUGUGGUGUCAUCUGAAUUUGAGGUGGAUGGUGUCACCUGCAUUUAAGGCACAUCUCUCUACCUCAGUUAACAUAGUCAAUAAAAUCCCUCACACAUAUUCAGAUAGAUUUGUUUCUUGGGUGAUUCUAAAGUCUAUUGAGCUGAUGGUAUUAACUCUCAGGGUACCAAAGAGAAAAUGUCUCCAAAUCAAGUGAGAGUGGCUGAGACCACCCUCAUGGAGGCCAGCAACCUGGGCACAGUGAGCACAAUGCAGCAGCAGUGAUGCCUUAGCCCAGCCCAUUUUAUAGAGAGAUGGAGGCUCAGAGUUGUUACACAAGCCAUAUGAGACUGCAUAGCUCACACCGUAUAAACCAACACCUCCUGUGCAUGUGUACCCCCCUUCACUCCCAACCCACUGCCUCAUUUCCUCUGCUGACACCCCUGACCAGGACCACCUGAUUGACUAGGGCCUCCUGACUAGGCCUCCCUGACUAGGACUUCCUUGUAGCCACAGUGAAGAGAGGAGUUGUUGGGGUUAGGAGUCUUUGUGACUGGUCAUUCAGUGGUGACCUGUUCCUCCAGUUGAUCCUCUGAUGAUCUGGAGGCUGCCAGAGUGUGACUGUGUUCUGCUAAGGGGUAUUUACUGCUGAGGCUGUCUUAUACCACAGCCUUUGAGUCCUGGAAAGCCACCACAAAGUGGCUGUAUCAUUACAUCCAGUGGAUGCUCGCAGCCACUCUGUUUCUCUGGCUGCCUCCUACCUUUCUUUAAAUAAGGGCAAAUAAGGGCAUGAUGUGUCUGUGGAUAGCAAAAUGAUCUUUCUGAGUUUGCUUCUAGAAAGGGGCAGUCCCUGGGUGUUGAGCAGGUCAUGAAGAGCCCCUCUUUUGUCAUUUAUAUGGUGAGUUUGCUACAUGUACCCCAUUGGUUGACAAGCUUAAAUGAGACAUAAUAUCACUUGGUAUUUCCUGGGCAAAUGGCUGAAUCUCUCUGAAACAGUUUCCUUCAGUGAUUCUCAGCCAGGGGUAAUUUUGCUCCCAAGGAGAUGUCUGAAGACAGUUUUAGUUGUUGCAGUGGGUAUUCAGUCCUCCCAGGACCCAGUGAAUCCAAAGGAAGGAUGUUGUAAAUAUCCCACAAUGCUUAGGGCGUCUGCACCAUGAAGAAUGCCUAAAACAUCAACAGUGCUGAGUCAAGAGGUGUGGAGUGCCGUGGGCUAAGCUGUGUUCAGAAAGGCAGUGGCCAUGGGUAGAUGCCCUCCGGUGGUGGC